Molecule: small nuclear RNA, 102 nt
Organism: Mustela putorius furo (domestic ferret)
Lineage: Eukaryota; Metazoa; Chordata; Mammalia; Carnivora; Mustelidae
Source: Ensembl
UUUUAUUAUAAUACAAAAAAAAUAAAUUUGGAACCAUGAAGAAGAUUAGCAUGGCCUCUGCACAAGCAUGACUUCACAAAAGUAAAGGCUUUCCUAUAUUUA